RNAcentral lists this unclassified non-coding RNA (329 nucleotides) under soil metagenome. RNAcentral describes it as "partial contains 5.8S ribosomal RNA, internal transcribed spacer 2, and large subunit ribosomal RNA". The stretch from base 1 to 120 matches the Rfam family "5.8S ribosomal RNA", at positions 35 to 154 of the family's 154-position model. The record is from RNAcentral.
GAUGAAGAACGUAGCGAAAUGCGAUAAGUAAUGUGAAUUGCAGAAUUCAGUGAAUCAUCGAAUCUUUGAACGCACAUUGCGCCCUCUGGUAUUCCGGGGGGCAUGCCUGUUCGAGCGUCAUUAUAACCACUCAAGCUCUCGCUUGGUAUUGGGGUUCGCGGUUCCGCGGCCCCUAAAGUCAGUGGCGGUGCCUGUCGGCUCUACGCGUAGUAAUACUCCUCGCGAUUGAGUCCGGUAGGUCUACUUGCCAGCAACCCCCAAUUUUUACAGGUUGACCUCGGAUCAGGUAGGGAUACCCGCUGAACUUAAGCAUAUCAAUAAGCGGAGGA